AAGCGCGCGUAGGCGGACNNUAAGUNGAUGUGAAAUCCCAAGGCUCAACCUNGGAACUGCAUUUGAAACUGGUAGNCUAGANANCAGGAGAGGUUGGCGGAAUACCGAGUGUAGAGGUGAAANUNCGUAGAUAUUCGGUGGAACACCAGUGGCGAAGGCGGCCAACUGGACUGAUACUGACGCUGAGGCGCGAAAGUGUGGGGAGCAAACAGGAUUAGAUACCCUGGUAGUCCACACCGUAAACGAUGAUUGCUAGUUGUUGGCAGAUUUAUCUGUCAGUGACGCAGCUAACGCAUUAAGCNANUCCGCCUGGGGAGUACGGUNGCAAGAUUAAAACUCAAAGAAAUUGACGGGGGCCCGCACAAGCGGUGGAGCAUGUGGUUUAAUUNGNAAGCNANCGCGCAGAACCUUACCUACUNUUGACAUCCCGAUCGCGGAUAGUGGAGACAUUAUCCUUCAGUUAGGCUGGAUCGGUGACNGGUGCUGCAUGGCUGUCGUCAGCUCGUGUCGUGAGAUGUUGGGUUAAGUCCCGCAACGAGCGCAACCCUCAUCCUUAGUUGCCAUCAGGUUUGGCUGGGCACUCUAAGGAAACUGCCGGUGACAAACCGGAGGAAGGUGGGGAUGACGUCAAGUCCUCAUGGCCCUUACGAGUAGGGCUACACACGUGCUACAAUGGCAGUGACAAUGGGUUAAUCCCCAAAAACUGUCUCAGUUCGGAUUGUUGUCUGCAACUCGACAACAUGAAGGUGGAAUCGCUAGUAAUCGUGGAUCAGCNUGCCACGGUNAAUNCGUUCCCGGGCCUUGUACNCACCGCCCGUCACAUCAUGGGNAUNNUUCNACC
RNAcentral lists this ribosomal RNA (841 nucleotides) under uncultured Hyphomonas sp. Its description in RNAcentral is "partial 16S ribosomal RNA". It matches the Rfam family "Bacterial small subunit ribosomal RNA", at positions 563 to 1420 of the family's 1533-position model. The record is from RNAcentral. Lineage: Bacteria; Pseudomonadati; Pseudomonadota; Alphaproteobacteria; Hyphomonadales; Hyphomonadaceae.